Molecule: unclassified non-coding RNA, 322 nt
Filed under: soil metagenome
Description: partial contains 5.8S ribosomal RNA, internal transcribed spacer 2, and large subunit ribosomal RNA
Rfam family: 5.8S ribosomal RNA (bases 1-120)
Source: RNAcentral
GAUGAAGAACGUAGUGAAAUGCGAUACGUAAUGUGAAUUGCAGAAUUCAGUGAAUCAUCGAAUCUUUGAACGCACAUUGCGCCCUUUGGCAUUCCGAAGGGCACACCUGUCCGAGCGCCGUCGCACAACUGAGGCGCAGCCUUGCGUUGGCGGGCGACUUGUGAGUAGCGAGUCGCCGCCCAAACGAGACGGCGCCGCGCCGCGGCCGACGAAGCACGAAAGCGGAAGUCGACGCGGAGGCGGUUGCCUGUAGGAAGACACAGCUUGGCCUCGGAUCAGGUGGGGAUACCCGCUGAACUUAAGCAUAUCAAUAAGCGGAGGA